This 6692-nucleotide long non-coding RNA is filed under the name Lynx pardinus (Iberian lynx). The record is from RNAcentral. Lineage: Eukaryota; Metazoa; Chordata; Mammalia; Carnivora; Felidae.
ACCAUGUAGGGGAGGGGGGAUCUAUCCACAUACCUCAGGUAACAGGGAGGUGCGAGGGUGGGGGGAGGGACUGGGCGGACCAAAGGCCGGAGGGGAGGGGGUUCUGAGUAUGGCGAAAGGCUUGAUAAUGGGACCGCUUGGGGAGGGGGAGGAGGCAGCCCGGCGGGGCAAAUGGGGGUCCCAGCCGGGCUGGGCCCCUGGGCCCCGGGUCUGUACAAUACGGUUUGCUAUAAAACUCAAAAUCUUCCAGCCACUGCUGCCGCGUUCGUGUGUGUCUCUUCGGCGUUGGGGUCGGGGGGUAGAGCUGGCCUGACUGGAAUGCUCAUGCUUUGGGCCUCCCUAAGGGGGCUGUUUGGAUGGAUCUGGGAGUUCUUCGCGUCCCCUAGGCUUCCCGGAACUGAGGAUGCCGGACGUCCUGUGAUCCCUAAAGGUGGAUAGGUUUACCUUUCGCCAGCUCAUCAUUUAGGGGGGAGGGGAUUGGAGGUCUGGACAUCUAGGGGAUGUCCAGGUGUGCCUCAAUGGUCCAGGGCUCGGGGACCCCCAAGUCACACGCUGGGGCUAGGCGUUUGCCUCCUCGGGGUUCCGGCACCUGGGCGAUAGUGAAGUGGCCUUGGGUCGCGGGGUCCCUCGGGAUCUCGGCCCACAGUCCCCCGGCUCCACCCCAUCAUGUGGCCACUCCGACUCCGCCUCCGUCCUAGUUCCGGUUUCGGCCUCUGCUGUCCCGCUUCGGCCCCUAGGUCUCCCUGCAGACGCCUGCUCUUUCGGCUUCGCCUGGGCGCCUCUUCGUGGGAGCCCGCCGCCCGCAUCCCCGCUAGCCCCGCCGUGGGAUGGGGCCUUCUGCCGGCCGGGGCCUGCCCUCCUGGGGCCCCCAGGGCGACUCGGGGCCCCCGUGACCGCCCAGCCCGCCCAGUGCUGCAGCCCCCAGGAUGAAGGGCGGCGAGGGGGACGCGGGCGAACAGGCCCCGCUGAACCCGGAGGCCGAGAGCCCCGCGGGCUCGGCCACGUACCGAGAGUUCGUGCACCGGGGCUACUUGGACCUCAUGGGGGCCAGUCAGCACUCGCUGCGGGCGCUCAGCUGGCGCCGCCUCUACCUCAGCCGGGCCAAGCUCAAAGCCUCCAGCCGCACGUCUGCCCUGCUCUCGGGCUUCGCCAUGGUGAGGGGAGGGAAGGGGCGCACAGGGUGGGGGUGAGGCACAUGGGGGCAUGGGGUCGUGGACGAAGUAAACGGGUACCCACGGGAGACGGGACAGAGGAAGGGGUUUUUAAGAGGUAAAGGAGUACAAACAAGGUCCCAAGGGACUACUCCAGUCCCUUUUUCUGAGUGUGUGUGUGUGUGUGUGUGUGUGUGUAAGUGUGUAAGAAGACCCCUAGCAUAAACCGGGCCAGAAGGAGGAUAAACAAGCCUGAAAGGUGUCCUGAGGGGAGACAAAUCACCAACGGCGAUAUAUAUGCAAGGGUGGGGCAAAGAGGUCCCAAAGGAGCACGUCCCAGGCAGAAGUCCUUACUAGGUUACCAUGAGAGAUUCAAAGGCAAAUCAGAGUUUGGUGGGAGCUAUAAAAACAGGCCUGGGAGAGUCAAAGACAAAAAAAUGAAUAAACGUAGUCACCCAGUUGAAGGUGGCCCCAUCCCAAAGAGGGUGGCCAGUUCCUAGCAAUCACAAAGAGUGCUUGGUGUAACGCAGGACAGCUCUGAGCAGAGAGGAUGCCUGUGAGGAAGCUGCUGGGGAAAGAAGCUGAUUAGGAAGCUGAUAUGUGAUUUCGGAACUGAUAAACUGCAGGUGUGGGAGGAUGAUAUCAGCCAACAGGCCCAGCGGAGGAAAUGGGACUGAGGGAAUCUCAGGGUCAGGAGGAGUCAGCAGACACAAACCCUGGCUCCUCCCAGCCUGUGGCCAGCUGUGUGACCCUGGACAGGCAUCCUCCCCCUCGCAGUCCAGUGGGAAACUGAGAUCAUGGAGGGUGCGCUCUCUGUAGCUUGCAAGUACCCGCCCCAGGAUGAGCUGAUUCUUGUCAUCAAACUCUAGAUCCCAGCAUGUCAGAACAAGACACGCAUCAGAGAUGGCUCAGCCUGUCUGUUAAUUGGAGAGGCAUGGAAGCCAAGGCCCAGAAUGGGGCAGUGCCUCUGCCAAGAGCACUCAGCAGAUGAAGGAUACAGAAUGAACUAGGGCCCAGGAUCACUGGACUCAGUUAGUCCAGAGUUUCCCUACCAACACGACAGGAAAAAGCAAGCAAGCUGGUGGGGAGUCUUCAUAGGAACAUACGGACAUGGGGAUAGAGGAGUCACAACACUAGGUGAUUUGGGUUAGUCUCUGCCUCUUUCUCUUUACCAUAGCCUAUGUAUUUGAAUGAUGAGAGGAAAAGUCUACCCUUAAGGGUCAUCCGAGUUCUAUCAUUUUCUGUAUAGGGACCCAGUAUCCAUAGGCCAGUCCAGUUUUCCUGAUGUGGGGUCAGCUAGAGACAGUGAAGUGGCUCUUUUUCUCCUGUACAGACUGUAGAGGGAAGGAAGCAACUUCCUGGACCUAGCUGAGAGAGGUCCCCCACCCCCAUCCAUCCCAUGGUCCAGCCUGUUCCCAAGGGGACAAUCUGGCCUGCUGCUGGACUUGCAUGUUGCUGAGGUGACAGCUUAAGCACCAGGGCCUUCUCUGCAGGAUCAAACGACCAGAUGAGUAGGUUCUGGGGGCAGACUGGCCCCACUCUGGCCAGGGGAGAGCAAGACUGGGUCAGGCUCUGGGAGAAACCAGGACUAGGCCUGGCCCAGAUCACUGUCAGUGGAAAACACCUGCUAACACUCACCAUGGCCCAAUUUCCCAAAAUACUUAGCCUUGUCUUCCUACCACCACCUUCCAGGUUCUGUACCUUCUUUCUCUCAGCCCCAGAGCAAUAUAAUGGAUCCUGUAAGAACUAGGCAUGGGGAAAGAUCCAGAUUCUGGUAUCUGGGUAGCCUGGGUUAGAAUAACAUACAAAUUGUAUUACACUGUCAUGCAGUACCAGGCAAUGUGCUUAGAGCUUUUACGUGUAUCACGUUUAUUAUUCUAUGAAGUAGGUACCACUACUAUGGCCAUUUUACAGAUGCGAAAACAGGAUCAGAGAUGUUAAGACACCUGCCCAGGAUCCCACAGCAAGUAAGUGGCAGAAUUUGAACUUAGGUAGUCUGGCUCUAGAAUCCAAAUUUACACAAGCCUAGAACAGGAUCACCAGCGCAAAUGUUUGCAAAGGACAGGCAGUUUAAUAUGGACUCCCAAGUUGGCUGGGUGGGGACUGUGGCUAUCAGGAGACCCCAUGACCUGUCCAAAGGGAGCAGGGGAGCAGUCAUGACUCAAUUCUAGCUGGUAGUUGCCAUGCAGGAAUGUGGGCCUAGUGUAACCAGAUCUUCCAAAUUUUCAAGAGGAUCCAGAAAUAGAGAUAUUUAUAUGAAAUCUCUAGAGUCAAAAAAAAAAUUUUUUUUUAAUGUUUAUUUAUUUUUGAGAGGCAGCAUGAUCAGGGAGGGGCAGAGAGAGAGGGAGACACAGAAUCUGAAGCAGGCUCCAGGCUCUGAGCUGUCAGCACAGAGCACAAUGCAGGGCUCAAACUCAAGCCGUGAGGUCAUGACCUGAGCCAAAGCUGGACGCCUAACUGACUGAGCCAUCCAGGUGCCCUGAAAUCUCUAGAGUUUUAAAAGUUCAACCUAAUUCCUUAAAAAACACAGUGUAUGAGCCAAGCAAAACAUGUGCAAAGCUGGCUUGGAUUCAUGGUAUACCAAUUUGCAGGCACUAGCCUUAGACUUCGGUGUUUUUUUUGUUUUGUUUUUAAUUUUUUUAAUGUUUAUUUUUUGAGAGGAAGAGAGAGAGUGCAAGUGGGGGAGAUGCAGAGAGAGAGGGAGACACAGAAUCUGAAGCAGGCUCCAGGCUCUGAGCUGUCAGCACAGAACCCGACGCCAAGCUCGAAUCCAUGAGCCAUGAGAUCAUGACCCAGUUAACCAACUGAGCCACCCAGGCACCCCAGACUUCAGUGUUAAUAACACUAGUGACAGUGUUAAGAACACUAGUGUUCAUAACAGUUAAUAAUUAAUAAUAACAACAAUUAACUAGCACUUACUCUGUGCCUUAUACCUUCUUAUUACUUGGUGUACAUUAUCUCAUUUAAUUUUCACAACAACCCUGUAAGGCAGGUAGAUAUUAUUAUCAAUCCCCACUUUCCAGAUGAGGAAAUUAAGGCAUAGAGCUAUAUAUCACUUGUCAGCUUGUAGAGCUGAGAGUGAACCCAGGUGGCCCAGCUCCAGAAUCUGUUUUUUAACCCCUAGGUGAUAACAAGGUAAGACUUCCAGAAAUGUGUCAUCCAGCUCUCUCAAUAGCCAGGUGCAGAAACCAAAGCCAGUAAAAGGACAGAGCCUUACCGAGGCUACCAAUUCAUUCACUCAACAGAGACUAAGCAUCUUCUUCCUGCCAGGCACUGUUCUAGGUCCUAGGGAUACCUUGGUAAUGUAUACCAACAGGUAAAACAACCCUCUACUGCCAAAGAGGUUAUAGGCACUCAAUCCAUCUCUGUCCCCACAGGUGGCCAUGGUGGAGGUACAGCUGGAGAGCAACCACGAAUACCCGCCAGGCCUGCUGGUGGCCUUUAGUGCCUGCACCACCGUGCUAGUGGCUGUGCACCUCUUUGCACUCAUGGUCUCCACCUGUCUGCUGCCCCACAUAGAAGCCGUUAGCAACAUCCACAACCUCAACUCUGUCCACCAGUCUCCACACCAGCGACUCCACCGCUAUGUGGAGCUGGCCUGGGGCUUCUCCACUGCCUUGGGCACCUUCCUUUUCCUCGCUGAAGUUGUUCUGGUUGGCUGGGUCAAGUUUGUGCCCAUUGGCGCACCCUCGGGCACACCAGCCCCUUUGGUACCUGCCUCCCAGGUGCCUGGGACUCUGUCACCAGUGACCACCUCCCUUAGUCCAGCUUCCAAGCCAUCCUUUACUUCUGUAGCCCCAUCACAGGCUGAGCCAUCUGAGGCCUGCCCACCCCGGCAAGCAUGUGUUGGUGGAGGAGCCCAUGGACCAGGCUGGCAAGCAGCUAUGGCCUCCACAGCAAUCAUGGUACCUGUGGGGCUUGUAUUCGUGGCCUUUGCCCUGCAUUUCUAUCGCUCCUUGGUGGCACAUAAGACAGACCGCCACAAGCAAGAGUUAGAGGAGCUGAGUCGCCUGCAGGGGGAGCUGCAGGCUGUGUGAGGCUGAUGUUAACCACUACUGUAAACACUGCCUCCCUCCGGUCUGCAGGAGGACCCAGGUCCACAGACCCCAUUCCUUGCCCCUGCCUGGAGCCACUCCUGUGGCCACUCCCAGGUAGAGACCAGACUCCUGCUUUCUGAGUCCUUUGGGGUGGGCCCCGGGGGCAGCUUUUACAUUCCCAGGGAUUCUCCUCGCUGUCAGUCUAUCCCGGUCUGUCUAUAUCUGGGCUGGGAGGAACAGAGGAGGAAGUAGAAGGUCUUCAGUCCAAGUCUCACGUAGCUAGAGGGGAGGCAGGGAGACCCUGGUCAGACCUUUGGUGCUGACCCUUAACACCUUAACCCUGUACAGGAUGUGGAAGUCAGAGGUUACACACCCACCCAGCUGCCUCAGAAGGUAGCUAACCCUUGCUUUAUUUUUGUAGAAUCUACUUUAUGGUUGGCAUUUUGGGAAAGCUUUUCCCCAUCUCCAGAUUUUGAUGGGUUCCACAUUUUUGCUUUAGUUGCUGAAGAGAAGGAUUUGGGUGUUUCUAACCCAGACAUAGGUCCACUCUUUCCUAGGAGGAGCCUCACUAUUUAUGGAGGUUCAAGUGCCUGCCCCACUGCCCUAGACCCACACUUAAGCUUCUGCGUCUGGUUCUCACUCUCCUGGGCCAGGGCUGGAGAUCUUUGGAGACUGAGGGCCUGUGUGCCCAACCUGACUCUCUAGUAAGGGUUUGGGGUGGGGAGGUUUUAAGGGAGAGGAUCCAGUCACUAGCCCUUGGAAUACAGAGCUAUUCUCACACUGAAUUUUUGAUGCACCUUGUUUUGUAUAAUAAAAUGUGUUUCACAGAUGUCCCUGUAGCUGUGAAUGGGGUGAAGAGGGGGCCUCCUUGGGAUCAGGUGACUUACUCCUAAGAGCCAGGUGGAAGCAGGUGUACCUGGGGGGGGGGGCGCGGAAGAAUGGUUCCAGAUAUGAUCCCCUUCUGGUGCUGGCAGGGACCAGUUAUCUUCGGAUUUGGAGACUGAGUUAUUCCAAGGCUAAAAUUUUUGCACUCUUGUUCUUGGGUCUCCAUCACUUCCAUUGAUGAUUUAGAGUUUCUUUGUAAAGUGUAAGUUUCUUUCUUGAGUGACUACUACAUACUAGGAGCAAGGAUAUCUUAUUUAACCCUCACAACGACCUCAAGAGACAAGUCUUCACCAUUUCCAUUUCAGAGAUAAGGAAACAGGCCCGACAAAGUGGAGGAUCUUGCCCAAAGCAAUGAAAACUUGGACUACCUUUACCAUAACAUGGGAAAUCUCCUUCUGUCUGAUAUAAGAAGCCAAUCAAUACCUUUCAACUGGGACAAGAGAAAGGAAUCUGCUCUUAUCACCAGUGCUUUCAUAUAAAAAUUAGGCUUUCAUGUAAGUCUAAUUUUCCUCAAAAAUUUAAGGGGCUCUAAUCCUCGCUCCUCUAUUCUUAGCAUGAGACCUUGGUCCAGUCCCUCUUUUCUCUUUUCCUGUAACUUAAAAUUGUGAAUUUGUAUGAA